CACUCUUACUGAGAAUAGCCCCUCGAAAGAGGGAUUAAUACUCCGUAACAUAUUGAUAAGGCAUCUUAUUAAUAUUAUAGCUCCGGCGGUUAAAGAUGGGCGUGCGCCUGAUUAGAUAGUUGGCGGGGUAACGGCCCACCAAGUCUGCGAUCAGUAACUGGUGUGAGAGCACGACCAGUCACACGGGCACUGAGACACGGGCCCG
This 205-nucleotide ribosomal RNA is filed under the name uncultured bacterium. RNAcentral's name for it is "partial 16S ribosomal RNA". It matches the Rfam family "Bacterial small subunit ribosomal RNA", at positions 128 to 334 of the family's 1533-position model. The record is from RNAcentral.